CUACGGGUGGCUGCAGUGGGGAAUAUUGCACAAUGGGCGCAAGCCUGAUGCAGCCAUGCCGCGUGUGUGAAGAAGGCCCUAGGGUUGUAAAGCACUUUCAGUGGUGAGGAAGGUAGUACAGUUAAUAGCUGUGCUAUUUGACGUUAGCCACAGAAGAAGCACCGGCUAACUCCGUGCCAGCAGCCGCGGUAAUACGGAGGGUGCGAGCGUUAAUCGGAAUUACUGGGCGUAAAGCGUACGCAGGCGGCGUAGUAAGCCAGAUGUGAAAGCCCCGGGCUCAACCUGGGAAUUGCAGUUGGAACUGCUAUGCUUGAGUCCGGCAGAGGGUGGUAGAAUUUCAGGUGUAGCGGUGAAAUGCGUAGAGAUCUGAAGGAAUACCAAUGGCGAAGGCAACCGCCUGGGCCGAGACUGACGCUCAUGUACGAAAGCGUGGGUAGCAAACAGGAUUAGAUACCCUGGUAGUC
RNAcentral lists this ribosomal RNA (464 nucleotides) under uncultured bacterium. RNAcentral's name for it is "partial 16S ribosomal RNA". It matches the Rfam family "Bacterial small subunit ribosomal RNA", at positions 339 to 795 of the family's 1533-position model. The record is from RNAcentral.